Molecule: ribosomal RNA, 492 nt
Filed under: uncultured bacterium
Lineage: Bacteria
Description: partial 16S ribosomal RNA
Rfam family: Bacterial small subunit ribosomal RNA
Source: RNAcentral
AGUGAACGCUGGCGGUGGGCCUAACACAUGCAAGUCGAACGGCAGCACAGUAAGAGCUUGCUCGUACGGGUGGCGAGUGGCGGACGGGUGAGGAAUACAUCGGAAUCUACUUUUUCGUGGGGGAUAACGUAGGGAAACUUACGCUAAUACCGCAUACGACCUACGGGUGAAAGCAGGGGAUCUUCGGACCUUGCGCGAUUGAAUGAGCCGAUGUCGGAUUAGCUAGUUGGCGGGGUAAAGGCCCACCAAGGCGACGAUCCGUAGCUGGUCUGAGAGGAUGAUCAGCCACACUGGAACUGAGACACGGUCCAGACUCCUACGGGAGGCAGCAGUGGGGAAUAUUGGACAAUGGGCGCAAGCCUGAUCCAGCCAUACCGCGUGGGUGAAGAAGGCCUUCGGGUUGUAAAGCCCUUUUGUUGGGAAAGAAAAGCAGCAGGUUAAUACCCCGCUGUUCUGACGGUACCCAAAGAAUAAGCACCGGCUAACUUCGUG